UGCCGCACGGGCCGUGCUGCUGUGCCAAAUCUCUAGGCCCGUGACAUAGGGCUGUGAAAACAGCGAUGAGAGAGACUCAGGCAGAAGCGGGAAAGGGGAAGAGAGAGAAGCAAUCGGUGGCGGAGCUUCCGGAGAAUUUGAUCGAUGACAUUCUCAUCCGACUAUCAAUCGAAGAUCUGUUACGUUUCAAGUGCGUUUCCAAAUGAUUGUAUAUCCCAAUCGACUCACCUAUCUGUUGGAGCUACUUGCAUAAUCAAUCGGAUGCUUUGAUAUCAGUUGUUGUGACAAGAACGCAAAAAUAACGUCGUUCGAGGAAUAAUCACAAGCAAUCACGAAUAAUAAAAAUGACACACAAAAACUUCGUCUUCACUAUUGAGGUGGACAAGUCCUCUUUAAUUAUAAAAAAUAAAUUAAAAAAAUUAAAGAAUACUGGUAAGUACGUUUUCCUAUCAUUUUUUAUUUGGUAAUUAAAAAUAGAAACAUGAUAGGGCCGAAUGAUUUUCUCAAAUAAGUCUUGAGUACACAUCAUCUGCCUAAAACAAAGAUUUUUGUUUAAUGAAAUUUAUGAAUCGAAAAUCCUUUAAAUUCAAAAAUUAUAAAAAAACACAUCAAAAAAUUAGAAAAUACAAAAUAAAAGUAAUAAAAAAAACAAUUGGAGAGUUUUACUCAUUCCUAUUGAGGAUAUUUGAAUAUUCAAAAGUCAGGGCACGAGUAGUUCGGGGAAAAAAAUUGAAUCAAAUACAAUUUUUUUACACAAUUAUGUGUUUUCAGUUUUUUAAGAAUAAAAAAUUAUUUUCAUCAUUAUUAACCAAGCUCUUAAUUUUUCUUUGUUGUUGUCCGAUUGAAUUAUUAAAGAUAAAGACUUAUUGAGAGGGGGGUUUUAGAGAGGAAAAAAAAAAAACCCAAAUUGCAGUGCUCAACCAGCAGAGCUUAGGGUUUGUGAUGCUCGCGAGCUUUUUCCUGCCUUUUGAAUCUCCAAUCUCCUACUCUUCUUUUAACCAUUUCCAAGUUUCAUCACUUUCUCUCUCUCUAGAUCAGAUUUUGUCUUUUCUCUCUCACAUGCAAACAUUUAGUGUUCGUUUAAUAGCAGCGAUGGGAAAAAGACAGAGGCGGAAGCGAUCGGCAAAGCGGAAGAGAGAGAAGCAAUCGGUGACGGAGCUUCCGGAGGAAGUGAUCGACUACAUUCUCACCCGACUACCGGUGAAAGAUCUGCUACGUUUCAGGUGCGUUUCGAAACGAUGGUGUGCCCUAAUUGACUCACCCAUGUUCAUAAAAUUGCAUCUCAACCAAUCACUUCAAACUGGAACCUCCAAUUUGAGUUUGAUUCUGAAAAAUGGUACUAACUUAUAUUCAGUAGACAUAGAUAUGCUUGAUGUUGUCUUGAAGGCUGGUGGUGAUAGUGUCCCACGUUUAGACGUUGUACAAGUCCAUAACCCCUUCAAAUUUGAGGCCCGUUGGACUGAUGUAGACGGUUCGUGCAAUGGUUUGAUCCUUUUGUAUGGUAUAAAAGAUGAAGCCAUUGCAUUGUUAAAUCCUUCCACCAAUGCUUACAGAAUUUUACCUCCAUUGUCACGUGGCAAUGCCUCUAGCUACCCAUUUCAUGGACUAGUGUAUGAUCCUGUCGGCGAUGAUUACAAAAUAAUUAAGAUUAUGCAGUUCUAUGGUGAUAAUGAUUCCUUUUACCACAAAGUAAUGGUUUAUAGCUUAAGAUCAAAUAUGUGGAGGCGGAUUUGUGAGAGCUUCAGUUAUUACCUUUUCUUCAAUUGGAAAAGUUUAUCUUCUGGCGUGCUGGUCAAUGGUGCUUUGCAUUGGUUAGCUCGUCGUGAUCGGGUGGAUUUAUUUGACAUUGUUGUUGCUUUUGAUCCUGUGGAUGAGGAAUACCAGGAAGUGCAGGUGCCACAAGUUCCUAGUUGUAAUCACGGGAUCUUGGGGGUUGUAGGUAGACGUUUGUGUAUAUUUUAUAUUACUGAGGAAGAUCAUUCUGAAGCCGCUGUUGAAUUAUGGAUCAUGAAUGAUUAUAUGGUGGAGUCGUCAUGGACAAAACAGUGUACGGUAAUGGUGCCAAAGGAAAAGGCCAGUUACGUGGAUGAUAUCAUGGAGUGUUUGAAGGUUUUGGCUUCUUCCAAUAAUAUCCUGCUGUGGGCUUCUUCCAAUUGCGAUAGCUUGUUCCGUAUGUUUGGUAGAUUUAAUUGUUAUGACCUGAAAGAGAAAAGGGAUGUGAAUCUUGGCGGUUCAUCUGCUAAGGAAGUUAAUGUGAAGAGCCUUGUUAAGCUUAGUCAUUAUCAAUGAAUUGAAAUUCUAUAAUUGUUUGCUGCGAUUUAUGUGGAGGGGUCUUGUUUUCAGGGAGCUGUUAUGUUUCUAAGAAAGCAUGAUUCUAUUAUGGCGACCAUAAAGGAUUUCGGCAUUUGGGAGCACCGGAUGGGCGUUAAAUUGCCUUGAUUUCCUUGACACUAAGGGAAAUGCAAAAUCUUCACCUCAUUAACAUUUUGGGAGGAUCUUAUUCAAUAGCAAGCAUUCAGUGGAAAAGAAACGCUGCCACUAACCUGGUUCUGGUUCGGAAGAUUUGUCUCUCCUUUAUGGUUUACCAUACGUGGGAAGAACGGAAUAAAAGAAUCUUCAGAGUAAAGGAAUCCACUCAAAGAGUAGUCCUGAAGAAUGGAAUGAAAGAAUCUUCAGAGUAAAGGAAUCCACUCAAAGAGUAGUCCUGGCCAAGAUCAAUUACUCAAUCACCUCGAUUUUGAAAUUGGAAUUCCUCCGUAAUUGCAACUCAUCUAGAAGCAUCCUCAAUGAUUGGAAUCUUUCGCUCUCUUGUUGUCGUCCCCCUCCAAGACCGCCAGACUGAACUAAUUCCGGCCGCCACUCAUUUAGGGCUACCACCGGAAUGUUUGCUAACUUUCUCCAUUAACGGCUAAUUGUCCGUUAAUUGCAGUUAUUAGCUUGUUUUUGGGCUUUCGAUUUUUCCUUGUUUUGGGCCUAAAUUUUUGGGUUGCUUUGUCGCCUUCGUUGGGCUGUACUUGGCCAAAGGGCCCACACUGUAAUUGCCUUAAUAUUUAUUUCAGUUGCUUAAUUUUUUGAAAAAAAAAAACUUGUACAAAUCUACUUAAUAUAAGGUUAAUUCAUUAUUGGAAUGAGAAAGAGGGACGAGAAAGGAUAUUUUCCUACAAAAAA
Molecule: RNA transcript, 3168 nt
Organism: Cornus florida
Lineage: Eukaryota; Viridiplantae; Streptophyta; Magnoliopsida; Cornales; Cornaceae
Gene name: F-box protein CPR1-like
Exons: 2
Source: RefSeq, a predicted model, not a curated record